GGAAAGGCCACACGAGGACACAGCGAGAAGGGUUGGUUAAGAGCUGGGUGGACAGCACAAUCACAGGCGAUGAGACACGAAGGGAAGUUUGCUGGGGGCUCUGGGAAAGGCUGCUUGACUCUUACAAAGAGGCUUCAUGAGAUAGUGCCCCUGCUCUUUCUCUGGAGGUAGCUGGAUCUGAGAGUGAUGCCAGGACCUCUGCAGCCAUCUUGUGUUCAUGAGGAGAGUCUGCCCAGGGACAAAGCCAAUAUGCAGGGAAGAACACAGAGGAGCAGGUCCAGACCCCUGGAGGCAUCUCAUCAGGGCACCUUCCCCCUGGGCUUCCCACGAGGUGACACAAUGGAUGUCGUGAGCCUUUCAGGCAUCUAAGUCAGGAAGAUUGUUGCUGAGGUAACAUCUGUGCCAACCUUCCUCUAUUUUGCAUGUGGGAUGCUGCCACAGUGUGGCUUGAUAAGCAGUGUGUAGGCCCGACCCCAGGAUCCAAACUCGUGAUCCAGGGUCGUCAAAGCAGAAUGUGCGAAAUUAACCACUACACCACCGGGCCAGCUCCAGCUAUUUCCUUUUCUGUUUUCUAAAUUUAUAAACCAACUGCUUUAAUAAACAGCUUUUUAAAGAAAAUUUUUUCUACCAUUUGACACAUAUCCUCAGGUAGAUUCUCAGAAGCAGAAUUACAGGAUGAGAUGGUAUUAAUUUUUAGAGUUGCUUGAUUCAUAUUUUCAUUUGCCUUCCAGUUGGCAGCUCUACAGUCUUAA
RNAcentral lists this long non-coding RNA (752 nucleotides) under Equus caballus (horse). Its description in RNAcentral is "lncRNA (ENSECAG00000049147.1)". The record is from RNAcentral. Lineage: Eukaryota; Metazoa; Chordata; Mammalia; Perissodactyla; Equidae.